GAGGUUUUGGCUUAGUGGUGGAGUGCUUGCUUAGAAUGUAUGAGGCAUUGAGUUCAAUUCUCAGCAACCCA
Molecule: transfer RNA, 71 nt
Filed under: Marmota monax (woodchuck)
Lineage: Eukaryota; Metazoa; Chordata; Mammalia; Rodentia; Sciuridae
Description: tRNA.Ser
Source: RNAcentral